This is a non-coding RNA of Salmo salar (Atlantic salmon), 54 nucleotides long. The record is from Rfam. Lineage: Eukaryota; Metazoa; Chordata; Actinopteri; Salmoniformes; Salmonidae.
UGCAUUCACUACUGUAAGUCACUCUGGAGAAGAGUGUCUGCUAAAUGACUAAAA